Molecule: microRNA, 21 nt
Filed under: Picea abies (Norway spruce)
Lineage: Eukaryota; Viridiplantae; Streptophyta; Pinopsida; Pinales; Pinaceae
Description: pab-miR11424
Source: miRBase by way of RNAcentral
ACUGUGAUUAAAUCUGGGACU